UACGGGGGGGGCAAGCGUUGUUCGGAAUUACUGGGCGUAAAGGGCUCGUAGGCGGCCAACUAAGUCAGACGUGAAAUCCCUAGGCUCAACCUAGGAACUGCGUCUGAUACUGGAUGGCUUGAAUCCGGGAGAGGGAUGCAGAAUUCCAGGUGUAGCGGUGAAAUGCGUAGAUAUCCGGAGGAACACCAGUGGCGAAAGCGGCCACCUGGACUGCACCUGACGCUGACACGCGAAAGCUAGGGGAGCGAACGGG
This 253-nucleotide ribosomal RNA is filed under the name uncultured bacterium. RNAcentral describes it as "partial 16S ribosomal RNA". It matches the Rfam family "Bacterial small subunit ribosomal RNA", at positions 524 to 776 of the family's 1533-position model. The record is from RNAcentral.